AACGUAGGUCCCGAGCGUUAUCCGGAUUUACUGGGCGUAAAGCGUGUUCAGGCGGUCUAGCAAGUCGGGCAUGAAAUCUCUCGGCUCAACCGGGAGGGGUUGUCCGAUACUGCUGGGCUUGAGGGCAGCAGAGGGUGGUGGAAUUCCGGGUGUAGUGGUGAAAUGCGUAGAUAUCCGGAGGAACACCAGUGGCGAAGGCGGCCACCUGGGCUGUACCUGACGCUCAAACACGAAAGCUAGGGGAGCAAACGGG
RNAcentral lists this ribosomal RNA (253 nucleotides) under uncultured bacterium. RNAcentral describes it as "partial 16S ribosomal RNA". It matches the Rfam family "Bacterial small subunit ribosomal RNA", at positions 524 to 776 of the family's 1533-position model. The record is from RNAcentral.